GGAAGUCUUCCACAAUGGGCGGCAAGCCUGAUGGAGCAACACCGCGUGAGUGAAGAAGGGUUUCGGCUCGUAAAGCUCUGUUGUUAAAGAAGAACACGUAUGAGAGUAACUGUUCAUACGUUGACGGUAUUUAACCAGAAAGUCACGGCUAACUACGUGCCAC
This 163-nucleotide ribosomal RNA is filed under the name uncultured bacterium. RNAcentral's name for it is "partial 16S rRNA". It matches the Rfam family "Bacterial small subunit ribosomal RNA", at positions 357 to 511 of the family's 1533-position model. The record is from RNAcentral.